Molecule: transfer RNA, 76 nt
Filed under: Rhizoctonia solani AG-1 IB
Lineage: Eukaryota; Fungi; Basidiomycota; Agaricomycetes; Cantharellales; Ceratobasidiaceae
Description: tRNA-Pro
Source: RNAcentral
CCUGGGCGAGGUCCCCGGUUCAAUCCCGGGUUCGGGCCGCCCGGAUGGUCUAGUGGUAUGAUUCGCCCUUAGGGAA